Molecule: long non-coding RNA, 462 nt
Filed under: Salmo salar (Atlantic salmon)
Lineage: Eukaryota; Metazoa; Chordata; Actinopteri; Salmoniformes; Salmonidae
Description: lncRNA (ENSSSAG00000113265.1)
Source: RNAcentral
CAGGUCCCCCUCUCCAUGUAAUCUGAUUCAUUAUGAUAUAGGAUCAGGUCCCCCUCUCCAUGUAAUCUGAUUCAUUAUGAUCUAGGAUCAGGUCCCCCCUCUCCAUGUAAUCUGAUUCAUUAUGAUCUAGGAUCAGGUCCCCCCUCUCCAUGUAAUCUGAUUCAUUAUGAUCUAGGAUCAGGUCCUCCUCUCCAUGUAAUCUGAUUCAUUAUGACAUAGGAUCAGGUCCCUCCUCUCCAUGUAAUCUGAUUCAUUAUGAUCUAGGAUCAGGUCCCUCCUCUCCAUGUAAUCUGAUUCAUUAUGAUCUAGGAUCAGGUCCCCCCUCUCCAUGUAAUCUGAUUCAUUAUGAUCUAGGAUCAGGUCCCCCCUCUCCAUGUAAUCUGAUUCAUUAUGAUCUAGGAUCAGGUCCCUCCUCUCCAUGUAAUCUGAUUCAUUAUGAUCUAGGAUCAGGUCCCUCCUCUC